AUAGAUGAAACCCGCAAGAGCUGCAACAACCCUAGCGCCGCAGUCCCCAUCGCAGCCGCGCGCGUGGCCAGGGCCGGCGCGAGCUCGCCCGCAUCUCCGCCCGCCCGCCAGCGCCGCAUCUCCAACCCGCGCGGACUACAUCCAGUAGGUCGCGCCGCAACGGCCUGGUCAAGAAGGCCUACGAACUCUCCAUGCUCUGCGACGCCGAGGUCGUGCUCAUCAUCUUCCCCAGCCGCGGCAAGCUCUACGAGUUCGGCACUGCCGGAUCUGCAAAAGUGAAGUCACCAUUGGAGGAUUUAUUUUCUGCAUAUCUCUAACUUACGAAAACGCCGCGAUUCCCGGGCCGUGGAGCGGGGCCACGUCGCCUGUAACCCGUUAACCGUCCGAUCCACCUAACUCGCUGCCUCGACCGUCCGAUGCGGCUCGGGCUGGGUCUGUCGCCCGUUAUUCCACUCACCCGGGGACUCGGGAACCUUCGCGGACCCGCUCCGAGGCCGGCCUAUCCCCUCCACGGCCGCCGCUUCUCCCCCACCGGCUGGCCGAGGCCCCCCUGUGGCUGGCUCCUUGUGGCGAUGGCCGAGGAACACGCGGCCGGCUCCUCCAGCAAAAAAGCAGCGAGCGCGAGGGGAGGCCCCCCCGCAGCUGGCUCCUCGCGUCGGCGGCCCACGGCCACGCCACCGGCGGCUCCUCCAGCAGAGCGGCCCCAAGGUUGGGGGAGGGGACCCAGUCUCCCCUGCCUUUUUCUCUUGCCCAGAUCUUCGCAAGGAACUCCGAAGGAACACCGUCGCAAGCUCUUCGCUGGGAGCCUGGUACCCAACCACCAUAAAUUGUCUAGGAAGCCAAAAGAACAACCUAUCCCAAAUUAAAAAGAAAUAAAAGUUAACAGGUAUGUAACAUAAACAAGUUUGUUCUUGAUGCAUCAUGAAAAGAUAAACUGUUGAAUUACUAUCGGUAAUCGUGUUGGUGCUAUCAUUCAACUCAAACAGGACAGAUGAAACAUAACUUCCAAACACUCGAACUCGAAGUAGUAUGCAAUAGUCAACUUUGAUCUUAUCUUACUUGUGCCUUCUGUUGUAUGUUCCCUGCCACUCUUACCUCAGGCUAGGAAUAGUUAAAGCUAUCGAGGAAUUUAAGACUUCAGUCUAUGUUGAAAAUUAUGACCAAGAGGAGGCUGAAUUUCACAAGCCAACAACAUCUUUAUCAUACUUUUAAGUUUUAAGCACUUAUUCUUUUAGUUAGAUGCAUCCAUUACCAACUCUAGAUGAUUCAUUGCUUCUGGUAUAAUGGCUCAUACCCUAUUGGAUGAGGCUCACCACCUACCAUGAUCAUUGAAGUUGUCUAAAGCAUGUUGUUCAGUUAUGUGCUUAUCAAAAAUCUUUGUAAGAUAUCUUUCCUAUAUCCAGCAAUGAAAUGUUUGCGUAGUAGUAUCUGGCACUAAGAAGACAAGUCUUUUGACAAUAUAUUUAGGUUCCUGGAAUUGUCUUUGCAAGAGGACCUGCAUUGCUGUGUUGAUUCUACUGAGCAGGUUAGAGUUAUUGGAAAUUUUGUUUGGAACCUCCAACUGGAAUGCUAGAUGAUGAAAAAGGUUAUUUUGUUGGCACCACAGUCUGUGAGGUUAGCAACUUUUCUUAUCCUAAUCUAACGAGUAUUUAAGUUCAGGUAUUAUUUUUAGGGAAUAAGUCAGGCUUGUUGGUCCUGCCUGAUAUUGGUUCACAUUUGACAUACCACAAUAUAUCAUUGUUGCUGUCAUAUUUCCUACUUGAACCUGUAAAGCAUGAUCUGUAACUGCUGACUGGUUAAAGAAAAAAACUGGUAACCUUUUUUUUCAGUUUGCUAACCUCUGAUGCAAUCAUGCAGCUUCUAUUCCAGAAAAGAAUUGUCCGAGUAGGCCGGGUAACUCAAUUUUGCCGGAGAUUAGGCAGCAUUGAGUAGGUAAUCUUUAUUUGGAAUCUUACAUGAGCAUAAUUUACUCCUCUUGAGAGGUUAGCACUGCAAGAUCGGUGCUGGACUGGGGAGCGUCGGCGACGCCACAACCUUCAGCAGUCAGCGGAGUGCGCCCUCUGCGCGCAGGAGGACGAGUCCAUCGACCACCUCCUGCUUGGUUGUGUCUUUAGCAGGGAGGUUUGAUUCAGGACUCUAAACCCGCUGGGUUUGGCCGCUCUAGCUCCCUUGCCGGUAGAUUCACUUGCAGAUUGGUAGCUUGCAGCUCGGAAGCAGGUCCCAAAGGCGCAUCGGAAAGGGUUUGACUCCCUUGUCACCCUCGUCUGCUGGUCGCUUUGGAAGGAGCGUAAUAGUUGUGUCUUUGAGGGUAGAUCGGAGCAGCCGUCUGUGGUUUGCUCCAAGGUAGCGAGCGAGAUCUCGGUGUGGGUCUUAGCUGGUUUUGUGUCCCUUAGGUCGCUCAGCGUUGUUGUGUAAUUAAACCUUAAAGAUAGGGGGCGGCGCUCGGCGCCAUGUAAUACUCUUAAGUGCCAGGAUCACUUAGGUGAUCUUAGUACUUGGUCGCUCUCUUUCCGCUUAAUGAAAUAACGUGCUUCGGCACGUUCGCGAAAAAAAGAUAUGAAAAAUGUGACCAACUGUGAUAUGGAGCAUCAACCGAAUUACAAGUUGCUGAUUUUUGCAAAUUCAGUCUGUAGCUGCAUCUGCCAACAUUCCUGCAAAGCUUUUGAUUUCAUGGUAAAGUUGGAAGGGUUAAAGCAUCAUGCUACUUGGCAUUUCUGAGAAGUUCGCUUGUAGCGGCAGCCAUGUGGUUCUCAGAAGUGCCGGGAAGCUUUUCCGAGCUUGACGGGAGCCACCGAUCACCAGGAUGCCAGCAACAUCGACAUCCACUUGCCCAAGCUAAAGCCCCAAGGUGAGAGAGGGCGUGGACAACACGGGGACUGCUCCACUUCUUUGCCGUGCGCAGGGACAAGGCAAUGCUGUGGUGCAGCACGUCAAGGAAAGGGGCUAUGCUCGCCACCAGCGAGGAGGCUCAGGUUCAAUGACAAUUUCCCCUGCGCGAGCCAUGCCAGGAAGAUAUUUGUCGAUAUGGAUAAAAGAGGUUUAUAUAUGACAACUGUAUGCACAUUUCGUAGUAAUGAAUUUAGUUCUCUGUUGGACUCUUCAGUUUCAUACAGUAUUGGUGGUCAACAAGAUGUUGUUAGUAACAUAGCUGUUGUUUGAACAAAUAUGACUACUGAAUAUGCAUGAAACUCACUUAAGAAUCUCAAACUUGAGCCUUCAUAUUUGGUUUCUCUAUGACUUGGUUGUAUCAGCUAUAUCUAUUGUAUCGUGCUCUGCUAUACAAAUGAAAGUUUGGUUUCAGGAACUGCCCUCCGUAAAUUCGCUCUUUAUUUUCCCUCAAGGUUACACACGGCUUAAAUAUUGGUCCACGCGACAAGGCCGCGUGGUCUUUCUAGUUCUUCAGAAACACCUGAUGCAAACAACAACUAUCAGCCACAAUCCAAUGAUGAGACCAUCCAUGAAGAUGACCCCUGGGCAGACCGAGAACAACACCUUACUGCACAAAAAAAGAACGCAGUGAAAAAUGAGCUUCAAGUAUAUUUGCAAGAUGACCUUUUUCCUCGACAAAAGGAUUUCGACAUUCUACAAUGGUGGUGGAUGCACUCUGCUAAAUACCCUGUGCUUUCGCGUAUGGCAAGGGAUCUAUUUGCAGCACCUGCAUCAACUGUAGCUUCUGAGUCUGCAUUCUCUACUAGUGGGAGAGUUAUUAGUGACUAUAGAAGCCGGUUGACAAGCAAGAAUGUAGAAGCAUUAAUUUGCCUCCAGGACUGGUUGAGAGCAGAAGGCCAUACUAACUUCAAGAUUGCAGAAGGUGAUAUUAGCGAUGAUGAGGGUCAGUUAGAAUAACAGGUAUUUUUUUCUUCUUGAAUCUGUUAUGCAGCAGAGUUCCUUCUCUGCUGUCCUGUUUUGGACAUGAGAGAAACCUUGUAGCUGUUAGUUAGCUUUUCUGUAAUUUGUUUAUACUGAAAAUCAGUUGCCUCAUGUAUGCAACUAGCACCUGUCAAUUCCAGUCAUAGAGCACUUGUCAAUGCUUGUGGUCACUCGAAUGUUUAAUUAAUCUGGAAAGUAUGCUUGGUAAAAAAAAUUCAGAUAGCAAGCA
Long non-coding RNA from Panicum virgatum (switchgrass), 4099 nucleotides. RefSeq lists it as uncharacterized. The record is from RefSeq and is a predicted model, not a curated record. NCBI's taxonomy places the organism in Eukaryota, Viridiplantae, Streptophyta, Magnoliopsida, Poales, Poaceae. The transcript has 6 exons.